AGAGUUUGAUCCUGGCUCAGAUUGAACGCUGGCGGCAUGCUUUACACAUGCAAGUCGAACGGCAGCACGGGUGCUUGCACCUGGUGGCGAGUGGCGAACGGGUGAGUAAUAUAUCGGAACAUGUCCGGAAGUGGGGGAUAACGUAGCGAAAGUUACGCUAAUACCGCAUAUGCCCUGAGGGGGAAAGGGGGGGAUCGCAAGACCUCUCGCUUUCGGAGUGGCCGAUAUCAGAUUAGCUAGUUGGUGAGGUAAAGGCUCACCAAGGCGACGAUCUGUAGCUGGUCUGAGAGGACGACCAGCCACACUGGGACUGAGACACGGCCCAGACUCCUACGGGAGGCAGCAGUGGGGAAUUUUGGACAGUGGGCGAAAGCCUGAUCCAGCCAUGCCGCGUGAGUGAAGAAGGCCUUCGGGUUGUAAAGCUCUUUCGGACAGAAAGAAAUCGCACUGGUUAAUACCUUGUGUGGAUGACGGUACCGUAAGAAGAAGCACCGGCUAACUACGUGCCAGCAGCCGCGGUAAUAC
RNAcentral lists this ribosomal RNA (525 nucleotides) under uncultured Sideroxydans sp. RNAcentral describes it as "bacterial SSU rRNA". It matches the Rfam family "Bacterial small subunit ribosomal RNA", at positions 8 to 526 of the family's 1533-position model. The record is from RNAcentral. Lineage: Bacteria; Pseudomonadati; Pseudomonadota; Betaproteobacteria; Nitrosomonadales; Gallionellaceae.